UCGCAAUGCCCGAAAGGGUGACGAAGCGACGCCGCGUGAGCGAAGAAGGCCUUAGGGUUGUAAAGCUCUGUCGAGGGUUAUGAAAUAUAGAUAGGUUAAUACCUUAUCUAUUUGACAAAGGCCCAAAAGGAAGCCACGGCUAACUCUGUGCCAGCAGCCGCGGUAAUACAGAGGUGGCAAGCGUUGUUCGGUAUUAUUGGGCGUAAAGAGCACGUAGGUGGUUUUGUAAGUCAGAUGUGAAAGCCUUCUGUUCAAAGGAAGAACGGCAUCUGAAACUGCAGAACUUGAGUGUAAGAGGGGAGAGUGGAACUUCUGGUGGAGCGGUGAAAUGCGUAGAUAUCAGAAGGAACGUCGGCGGCGAAAGCGACUCUCUGGCCUAUUACUGACACUGAGUGUGCGAAAGUUAGGGGAGCAAACGGGAUUAGAUACCCCGGUAGUCCUAACUGUAAACGAUGGGCACUAAGUAGAGGGGU
RNAcentral lists this ribosomal RNA (473 nucleotides) under uncultured bacterium. RNAcentral describes it as "bacterial SSU rRNA". It matches the Rfam family "Bacterial small subunit ribosomal RNA", at positions 366 to 829 of the family's 1533-position model. The record is from RNAcentral.